RNAcentral lists this ribosomal RNA (522 nucleotides) under uncultured bacterium. RNAcentral's name for it is "bacterial SSU rRNA". It matches the Rfam family "Bacterial small subunit ribosomal RNA", at positions 355 to 895 of the family's 1533-position model. The record is from RNAcentral.
UGGGGAAUAUUGGACAAUGGACCAAAAGUCUGAUCCAGCAAUUCUGUGUGCACGAUGACGUUUUUCGGAAUGUAAAGUGCUUUCAGUUGGGAAGAAAAAAAUGACGGUACCAACAGAAGAAGUGACGGCUAAAUACGUGCCAGCAGCCGCGGUAAUACGUAUGUCACAAGCGUUAUCCGGAUUUAUUGGGCGUAAAGCGCGUCUAGGUGGUUAUGUAAGUCUGAUGUGAAAAUGCAGGGCUCAACUCUGUAUUGCGUUGGAAACUGCAUGACUAGAGUACUGGAGAGGUAAGCGGAACUACAAGUGUAGAGGUGAAAUUCGUAGAUAUUUGUAGGAAUGCCGAUGGGGAAGCCAGCUUACUGGACAGAUACUGACGCUAAAGCGCGAAAGCGUGGGUAGCAACAGGAUUAGAUACCCUGGUAGUCCACGCCGUANCGAUGAUUACUAGGUGUUGGGGGGUCGAACCUCAGCGCCCAAGCUAACGCGAUAAGUAAUCCGCCUGGGGAGUACGUACGCAAGUAU